This 52-nucleotide microRNA precursor is filed under the name Camelus bactrianus (Bactrian camel). RNAcentral's name for it is "mir-1302 microRNA precursor family". It matches the Rfam family "mir-1302 microRNA precursor family". RNAcentral also lists the same sequence under 3 other names. Lineage: Eukaryota; Metazoa; Chordata; Mammalia; Artiodactyla; Camelidae. The record is from Rfam by way of RNAcentral.
UUUCUAGCAUAAGUGUGUCCCACGUAAUAUUUAGGACAUACUUAUGCUUAAA